UAGGGAAUCUUCGGCAAUGGGGGCAACCCUGACCGAGCAACGCCGCGUGAGUGAAGAAGGUUUUCGGAUCGUAAAGCUCUGUUGUAAGUCAAGAACGAGUGUGAGAGUGGAAAGUUCACACUGUGACGGUAGCUUACCAGAAAGGGACGGCUAACUACGUGCCAGCAGCCGCGGUAAUACGUAGGUCCCGAGCGUUGUCCGGAUUUAUUGGGCGUAAAGCGAGCGCAGGCGGUUUGAUAAGUCUGAAGUUAAAGGCUGUGGCUCAACCAUAGUUCGCUUUGGAAACUGUCAAACUUGAGUGCGGAAGGGGAGAGUGGAAUUCCAUGUGUAGCGGUGAAAUGCGUAGAUAUAUGGAGGAACACCGGUGGCGAAAGCGGCUCUCUGGUCUGUAACUGACGCUGAGGCUCGAAAGCGUGGGGAGCGAACAGGAUUAGAUACCCUGGUAGUCCACGCCGUAAACGAUGAGUGCUAGGUGUUGGAUCCUUUCCGGGAUUCAGUGCCGCAGCUAACGCAUUAAGCACUCCGCCUGGGGAGUACGACCGCAAGGUUG
Molecule: ribosomal RNA, 550 nt
Filed under: uncultured bacterium
Lineage: Bacteria
Description: bacterial SSU rRNA
Rfam family: Bacterial small subunit ribosomal RNA
Source: RNAcentral